AGCGAACGCUGGCGGUAGGCCUAACACAUGCAAGUCGAACGGCAGCAUAGUAAGAGCUUGCUCUUACGGGUGGCGCGUGGCGGACGGUUGAGGAAUACAUCGGAAUCUACUUUUUCGUGGGGGCUAACGUAGGGAAACUUACGCUAAUACCGCAUACGACCUACGUGGGAAAGCAGGGGACCUUCUGACCUUUCGGUAAUGAAUGUGCCGAUGUCGUAUUAGCUAGUUGGCGGGGUAAAGGCCCACCAAGGCGACGAUCCGUAGCUGGUCUGAGAGGAUGAUCAGCCACACUGGAACUGAGACACGGUCCAGACUCCUACGGGAGGCAGCAGUGGGGAAUAUUGGACAAUGGGCGCAAGCCUGAUCCAGCCAUACCGCGUGGGUGAAGAAGGCCUUCGGGUUGUAAAGCCCUUUUGUUGGGAAAGAAAAGCAGCAGGUUAAUACCCCGCUGUUCUGACGGUACCCAAAGAAUAAGCACCGGCUAACUUCGUG
Molecule: ribosomal RNA, 492 nt
Filed under: uncultured bacterium
Lineage: Bacteria
Description: partial 16S ribosomal RNA
Rfam family: Bacterial small subunit ribosomal RNA
Source: RNAcentral